Molecule: unclassified non-coding RNA, 960 nt
Filed under: Hevea brasiliensis (rubber tree)
Lineage: Eukaryota; Viridiplantae; Streptophyta; Magnoliopsida; Malpighiales; Euphorbiaceae
Source: RNAcentral
GUGACAUUGAAAAAGAGAGAAAUUUUAUUGCAGUCCUGGAAAGUUUGUUCAUUCAACUGGCAUUUAAUAAAGGUUAAUACAUUAAAGUUAAUUAAUUAAGGUCUAAACCAGUUACAACUUGUGCUAAUUAGAGUAGCUUCAAACUUUCUGCAAUUUGUUGAUCGUUGUUUCAUUUCAUACCUCUGGCUCCAAACUUACUGCUGAAUUUGUUACUACGACGAGGAUGGAAACACUGAUCCCUUCUUCUUCCUCGGUGAGUUCAAACUUCGGCGAAAGAGAAUUUUCAUGGCAGAAAUCAAAUCCUCCGAGGGAUUGGUUGGAGGAGACGAAGAUCUAAAUUGCUGACAAAACUUCAUGUGCCGUUCCAAUGCUUCCUCGGUGUCAAUAUCCUUCUGGGACCGGCAAGUCUCAUCCUUGACAGCUUCACUGCAAAGCCCACAAAUCCAGCGACCUCCAUACCUCUCGCGCACACGAGCAAUGUACACUGGUGUGCACUCCUCCGUCAAACCGCAGCAAUCGCAUUUAGCAAACUCAACAUCAAUAGCUGCCGGCGGGUUAGAAGCAUCUUUCAACACCGUGGUGGCGGUAGCCAUUCUGUUACCAUACAAACAAAACACAAAAUCAAAAAUAAGAUUAAGUGAAACCAAAACCCGAAAUUGCGAAAUUCAAAUUUCAAACCCUUCACCUAUUUGAUAUUUUAUCUCUCUUUCUCCCACUGCCUCUCUUGCACUUUCUUUUGAAUUAGCAUUACGUAAAUAUCAGAGCUUCAAUGCCCUGAUCCCUAAACUUUUCAGUUAUGAAAUGGAAUUCUCUUUCAAAUCACCCAAGUGAUUGAAUCCAAGUGGGAGAAUCUUGAGAGAGUCUCUACACUUGCUUUUUGCUGUCUCCUUGCCCAAUCAUUGCCUAAUAUUUACUGCUCUGCUCCUCACCCUGUAACUUCUCUUUCCUACCUUCCUUCCA